This 119-nucleotide ribosomal RNA is filed under the name Pteropus alecto (black flying fox). The record is from RNAcentral. Lineage: Eukaryota; Metazoa; Chordata; Mammalia; Chiroptera; Pteropodidae. RNAcentral also lists the same sequence under 1 other name.
GUCUAUGGCCAUGCCACCCUGAACACGCCCGAUCUUGUCUGAUCUCAGAAGCUAAGCAGAGUUGGGCCUGGUUAGUAUUUGGAUGGGAGACCACCUAGGAAUACCAAGUGCUGUAGGCA